UACACUUAUUGCCGCUAAUCUUGUUCUCCGAGUUCAAGUAUUAACGACAAUUAGAUUUUGGUCAGCAAUAAUUAUUCGUUAGUGGCAAAUAGAGUUAAUGGCCAGCAAAAACUAAAAAUUUGAAAGGAGUCUUUCCCUCAAAUUCCUUAAAAUUGCAAAUCCCUUCAUUCUAAGUUCUAAGAAUUGCCUCAUUCCUUCCAUCAUCGCCGACCCUUCGUGUUUCAGUGCCAUCUCUUAGAAUUCCUCAAUGACAUGGCCUUCCAGUUUUAUUGCUAUGACAAUUGUCUUCGGGUAGUGUUCGUAUUUAUUCUCUUCUUUGUAAUUUCUCUGCAUCUCAAAAGACACCUUUAGGCAAAACCCUAAUUCCCUUAGCACAACGCUUUUCCGUCCAUAACCAAAUUUGAUGACAUGUUACCUUUUAUUUUGAGGCUAAUGAAUAAAACCAAAAGCAUCGGUUGUUCAAUUACAAGAUUUUUCCUGUUUUCUUAAAAUUCUUGAGCUAGGCAGGUCAGUAAGGUGGUUAUGAUUGAUGGAAGGAUUUUUCUGUCAAUGAUAUGUUGGUGUACAUGCUUUGAACCAAAAUUUUAUCAGGAUCAACUAAAUAUGCAUCCACUGAUUGAAACUAUACAUUUCACAUACAAAAAACUACUGAGUUGUGGAUUUGUCUAACAAGAACAGAAAUUUGCUGGCAGGUCAUACACUAUGAUGUUUAUAACUUUAACAUGUGGAAGAGUUUCAUUACCAUCAAGAGUUGAAGAGAUACUUGUUAUACUUAAAUUGCAUUAGAUUCAAAGAUCUAUUUUUCCGUUAAUGUGGCUGACA
Long non-coding RNA from Nicotiana attenuata, 822 nucleotides. RefSeq lists it as uncharacterized. Lineage: Eukaryota; Viridiplantae; Streptophyta; Magnoliopsida; Solanales; Solanaceae. The record is from RefSeq and is a predicted model, not a curated record. The transcript is spliced from 4 exons.